GGGGAAUAUUGGACAAUGGGCGAAAGCCUGAUCCAGCCAUGCCGCGUGAGUGAUGAAGGCCCUAGGGUUGUAAAGCUCUUUUGUGCGGGAAGAUAAUGACGGUACCGCAAGAAUAAGCCCCGGCUAACUUCGUGCCAGCAGCCGCGGUAAUACGAAGGGGGCUAGCGUUGCUCGGAAUCACUGGGCGUAAAGGGUGCGUAGGCGGGUUUCUAAGUCAGAGGUGAAAGCCUGGAGCUCAACUCCAGAACUGCCUUUGAUACUGGAAGUCUUGAGUUCGGGAGAGGUCAGUGGAACUGCGAGUGUAGAGGUGAAAUUCGUAGAUAUUCGCAAGAACACCAGUGGCGAAGGCGGCUCACUGGCCCGAUACUGACGCUGAGGCACGAAAGCGUGGGGAGCAAACA
This 401-nucleotide ribosomal RNA is filed under the name uncultured bacterium. RNAcentral's name for it is "bacterial SSU rRNA". It matches the Rfam family "Bacterial small subunit ribosomal RNA", at positions 356 to 774 of the family's 1533-position model. The record is from RNAcentral.